This 787-nucleotide long non-coding RNA is filed under the name Brassica napus (rape). RNAcentral's name for it is "long non-coding RNA (BNAP_LNC019370)". The record is from RNAcentral. Lineage: Eukaryota; Viridiplantae; Streptophyta; Magnoliopsida; Brassicales; Brassicaceae.
UGGUCGAAAAUGUUUUUUUUUUUUCAAAUCAAUAUCGCAGGUAAUAAUUUGAAAACGUACCAGUGAGGAAACAUGGUUUAAGUGAUCCAUGUAAAACACUUUGAAAAUCUACCAAACUUAGAAACAGGUUAUCAUUCCUAAGUGUAGAUUUUGUGAUUGUUGUGUUUUUGCAAGAAGCCCAUUUUGUAAGAAUGGUCAGUUGAUCUAUACAUUCUUGUUGCAGGGCUGAGGGUGAAAAUCUGAUUUUCAAAGAGGUUUCACCUACUCAUAACUAAAUCAGUUUUUCUUGGAAUAGUAGUGAUGUUUCCUACGAUAGGUAUGGUCUUAUUUAUAGGAGUAGAUUCACCGAUUUUGUAUAUAAAAUGGACAAUAUAUUCAAAAGAAUAGAAUCAUUUAGUUUAGGAAGUCCCUAUAGUUUUGGUGCUAUAAUAUAUGUUAAAAAUCUCAGGGAAUGGAAAUCACAACUAUAUAUGGUUUUAAGUUACUAUAAAUUAUGGAAAACUCAAAAACCCAAUUGAUUUCCUUUUUUGUUAUGUUGACUGCUUUGAAAUAUGAAAAAAAAUUGGAAUGUUAUUGAGUUUAGGAAUAAUCGAAUUUAUUAGUUUUAAAGAUUAGCUAUACUUGAUUUGCAAGUUUUGAAACAGGAUCUCUCGAUUGUGUUGUUGCUUGAUAUCGUUUUAUUUAUGAUAAUUGCGUGGAAGUAGGAAACAUAUUUGGCAUAUUAUUGAGUUUAGGAAAAUAAUAAAUUAUUAGUUUUGAUUUUGUGCACCAAUAAUAUAUAAUGAUA